UCCUUAAAGGAAAGUAGGCUGGAAGUGUGCUGUGUGAAACUGCUUCACUUCAUGUGGGUGCCUCAUGCAGCUCUGAAAAUGAUCACUAUCGUGCAUUAGAGAGAGGAUUAAAUUAUUCCCAUCUUUCUCUCCUCCCACACUGACUCCAGGCAGAGCCAGUCCUUCCUUUUCCAGUCCACGCACACAGACAGUGAAUAUCACCAGGUGAUCCAGCUCUGGAGUAGCCCAUGUGUUUUGACUUGCUGCUGGAGGAUUCAAGUGUCUGCUGAGACGCAAAGGAUUUGGGUCUUCCCAGUUCCAACCAUGAGGAAAGACCAGAUAUGCUGCAGUGGUUCUCUAGGCACAUCUGCUGCCAUGAGAUGCCUCAGCCAAGGACUGUGAGCCAAGAUAUGAGGGAAAUAGUUUAACCAGAUGUGUGCCCAUGUCUGCAACACAGAAUUUUAAGAUGCUGAAAUUUAAAAGCUUGCCAUCAUCUCCCCUGCCUCCCCAGCAGUAAGGGAAGAUUGAAAUCACUGAGAAUGGAAUCCAGGACAUUUUCUAGCUCUCCAAAUGCAGCGAGAACAUUUAUGGACUGACCUUCCACAGCUUCCUUCAAGCACUGGAAUUUCCAGGUGCAUGUUUUCAGAGCACAAGCAACCCCAGGAAAGCUGCUUUUCAAAAGGCAUUUCUGCUACAUACGUUACUGAAGUAUUUCAUUUCCCCUCCAUGUGAUCAGCUACGUGCAUUGAGAGAAAGUAAAUCCAGACUUCAAAGUAUCUGACCGGAGGCAGGCAGUUGCUUCUCCAUCAGUUCAAGGAAGAAGUCAAAGGACAAACUGGCAAGGUCUCCCGGACAAGGUAAAACCAUUAGCAGAAACCUAAAUGAACUGAUUCUCAGACCUUAAAAAUAAACUGCAUUGCUCACAGUACAAGUUACCUUUGCACCAAAGGGCAAAAAUACCACUCACCCACACUAGGGAUUCUUUAAGAAUUUAAAUCACAUUCAUUAGAAACUAAAUAAACAUAACACAGUACUCUUCUCUAAGCAGAGAAAGGAUGAAGAUCUGAAACCAUUCCUAAUCUUAAGCUCUGUAGUGCACCUAGGAGGAGAACUCCUUGAAUGAACCUGCAAAAGCACAGGUCUUCAUUCAUGAGGAGAGGAAUGAAAAUCCUGCUUCAUAACGUAGCAAGUGUUUAAAUAAACUUGUUCAGAUGAAGAUAUCUCCUCUCAGGGGAAAAUAUAAGACUAUAAGAAAGGUCAUGGAAAUCAUUUCAAAACUGGAAUGUUAAGAGAGCUUCGUUUCAGCCCUUCACUACGUUCUUGCAACUGAAGAAAUGCUAACUGCCUAGAGCACUCAGUUGGUCAGCAGAAACUCCUUUUAAACAUGAAUAUAGAAGGAAAAAAAAAUCCCUGGACAGUGCUGUUUUAAAAGAAUCUUAUGGAUUCCUGUGAGUUUCAAAACAAACAAACAAAACAUGAUGCUGAGGCAAUAUCUGGAGCAAGCAGUCUUUUAGCAUUCAGACUGUAACAGAAAUAUUUUAAAAUGCACUCUUAGAUAUGAGAACUCCCAUGGCCUACAGAGGUGAAUAAUAUUGGAGGCUACUGAAGUUUAUUUUUCUUGAAGUUUUCACUUCAAAUAAAGCUUUGUUUUAAAAUGUAUAAGGGCAACUGUUAGUGCAUUGAGGUCCUGGUUAUUAGCCAGCUAGAGCCCGUGAAUUAUGUUUAGUGAGAAGUUUAUUGGCUCAGUAAACACCAUUCCAGUUCCCCUCACCCCUGAACUGUGGAAGCCAAACCAAGAGAUAUUCAAUGCCAUGUUACUGCUGGAACCAGAGCAGCCAUUAUCUGAUUACAGGCAUUUUAUUUUUUGUGAAAAAUUUGCUAUUGCAUCAUUUAAUUCAAGGAAGUCUUUAAAUUUACCAGGGCAACACACAGAAAGUAAGAAACUGUUUGCUCUUGCUUACCACCAUCUGGAGCAGGAAUAUUUGUUUCCAUCUCAUAGCUUUCUUAGUGAAGGCACUACAGGAAAUGCAAUCCCUCAAAUGCUUGGUAAGACAGAAGUCUGGCAGGGAACUUCAAACUAACAAGAUUAAAGUAGACAACCACAGGACCUUUCUGAAAAACCAUCCUAUGGACCCAGGGCAGAGUAUGGGGUGGUAAGAAGUUAUAUUCAUUUAAUCUCACUAUAACUUUGUCUCAAGGGAGACACAAAAAAAGUGGAUCCACUCUGUGCAAGUGAAUGAUGUUGCUCUUUGUAAGAUAAACAAUCCAGAACAGCUUACAACAUCACACCUUAAUCAGAAAUCUGGCUACAGCUCAGGUAAGAUGCACAUGCAAGCCCAAAAACAGAACUAGGGCAGAUUCAUAUGACAUUAGCACUGUCUUGUUUUACUCUUGUUGUGGGAAGCACCAGGGACCAAAACAGAAGACAAGCAUCUCCAGAAUUAGCAAGUCUGACAUGUAGCUGUGCAAAACCAGAGGCAGCUUCUGUUUGUGUGGCUGUCUUUGUCCUGGGCACAAAGCUGUCCUAUCCGGUUACCUUCCACUGCCAUGAGCUAAAGACAUGCAUACUGAGAAUAGGCAAUGAUUAGUCAGUGUGCAGUAACUUGUUAGUGUGCUUGUUGUUCCAGUUCCCUGGAAUACCUAACAUAUACCAUAAGACUACACAGGGAUUGUGUCAGUCCUUGAGGCAAGGAAAGUUAAUUUAGUUGGAAUAAUAAGGAUGGAAAAGAGAGUGCUAUGAUAACAGUAGCCUGUUCUGGUAGCAAAGUAAACUGGAACACAAGGAACUUAGGUUCUCUUCCUAGUCCUUUCCAUCUGUCACACAACCUUGGCUUCAUAAUGCAGCUCUUCAUGGGUCUGUUUUCUUUCUCACUUUCUGCCUUUCCUGAUCUCUUUCAGGGAAGAGAUGGUGUUGUACAGAAGCUACUGAAAGCUUCAGGGCUUUGCAGUCCCUAAACUGAACAGCACUUUUGAGUAAAGUCUUUGUUAUAGACCAGUUUAUGUACCACCAACUACAAAAUCUCAUAUUCUUAUGUAAAUGGCUCUUCUGAUGCCCUCAGAAUCAUAAUGCCAGAAUCUGUCCAUCUGAGAAGGAAGGACCUGUGCAAUAUAGAUCUUUAAUGUCCAGGCAAUGCCACAAGGACAUGCCAAGGCCAUAUUAUCACAUCCAUAAUGAAGCACCUCUAGGGAGAAGGCACAGUUAAAAUCUUUCCACCCCAGUAGUGGUGAAAGACAAGAUACCCUUCUCUUUAAACUUAACCCUCUCCCUUCCAAAGAAUGCCCGGAAUUUCUACUAUUUCCUAGCAGAGACUGGAAGGCAACGACUUGGCAUAGGGCAAGACAGAUAAGAGCAGUUGUCUUCGUAGAUUUUAACUCCGCUUAAUUGCUUAGGGCAUGUGAUGUUUAGAGAAAAACACAUGCACAUCUGUCAGGGACUUCAAAUCACUAGUAUAAUUCCAAGAAAACAAAGUCUAGUUUACAUGUGGCUGCAGUAUAUAAAACACAUCUGUAAAACUACAGUAUAAUUCAGCUGCUGCAGUUUUAAUUUACAAUGCAAUGAUACUGUUUUCCCUCUCAAAGACUGCCAUUUAGGAUCACUACAGUAUUGAAUAAAGUCUUAGCCGUCUUCUGAGAGACAUGGUUAAGAUUUAUUGCUGUUGGAUGCCUCUCUAAGCAAGCCACAUUUAAACACCCUGUUUUGCAAAAGCGUUCAUAUUAUCUUGCAUCUGAAUUCAAGUCCUUUUCCCAGUUUAAAAGCUGGGUUGGGACCAUUUGCUUACAUUUGGAGUUCUUUUCCAAAACUAAUGGUAUGUGGGAUUGAGUUGUAGAUAUAUGACAACUGGAUAAACUGCUAUUAUCUACUUUGCAUCAUGCACGUACCAUCUAUAGUUUUCCUCCUAAGGUUUGUUCAAAUGUACAACCCACUUCUACAGCAGUUGCACAUUCAGCAUGCUAACUAUAUUAUUCUUGGCCAUCCUGUUAUACUCCCAGUAUAAGUUAAAUGCACAGUAGAUGUGACCAUGAUGGAUUCCCAACAGUUUCUAGAUGGCUACAGAUGAUAGCUGGGCAAGGGUGGAAGUUUUGAUAUGUAGUCAUGAAGCUGAGAGCUUUUCUAUUCAAAUAGGGUGCUGGCUGGCACUAUCUCUGUCAUUUAUCUGGUGAAACUAGAUUACCAAAAUGUACUAUGCUUAGGGCUACAUCAGACUGCCACUUGGAAGCUCCAGUUAAUACUACAUACAGCUGCCAGAUUGCUUAGCUAAAUUUCACAUGGAGAUCACACGGAACGACUGUGAUGAUGUACUGUUUUUUUUUCACAUUGCCAUUCAAGGAGCUAUAUUUGCAUUAUUAAUACCUUGUAUGACUUGAGUGAUGGCUGACAGGCAGCUGUUAGCAGGAUCCUAACCCUGCAGUGGACAAUUUUAAGUCUCUCUGAUCUGCAAGUUUGGGUGGUGCAAUAUCUGCUUAGGAUUCUCACACAGAGCUAGGACCCUGCAUAAAUUUAUUUUGGUGCCUCUUGAAAGAAGAGAGAAAGAAAGGAAGAAAGAAUUAAUCCCAAAAGCAUAACAGAAAUUUGUGGAAAGCUAAACUUAUUGGCAGAACUGACCUGCAAGGUGCAGAACAUUAACAAAGAAUGAUUAUCUUCACAUUUUCUCAUAGUGUUCCCCUAGGCACAAAAUAUCCUAAUUUCUUAAUGCAAGCUACUUAGGAGCAACAAUCAAUGAAAUAAAUUAAGCACAAUAAAAACACUGGGUUUACGAUAAAAAUGUGGUUCUUACCUAUAGGCUUGUAAAGAAAACUCAGCACAGUCCUACGCUUCUCAUAGGUAAAUUCUGAAUUUUCAUCCCCUUGUUCACAAGCCAGGCAGAAUAAAAAUAUCCACCUACGUUAAACCGAAGGGAGCCACUCA
Molecule: long non-coding RNA, 4885 nt
Organism: Gallus gallus (chicken)
Lineage: Eukaryota; Metazoa; Chordata; Aves; Galliformes; Phasianidae
Exons: 6
Source: RefSeq, a predicted model, not a curated record